UAAAUUUUAAAAUUAUAAUGCUAAAAUAGUAAAUAAUUAUUUAUUAAAACUUAAAUAAUUUGGCGGUAUUUUAGUUCAUUUAGAGGAAUCUGUUUAAUAAUUGAUAUUCCACGAAUAAAUUUACUUAAUUUUUAAUUUUGUAUAUCGUUGUUAUAAAAAUAUUUUUUAAUAAAAUUAAUAUUUAAAAAUUAUUAUAAAAAUUUAAAUCAGAUCAAGAUGCAGAUUAUAGUUAAGAAUAUAAUGGAUUACAAUAAAAUUAUUUAAAUGGAUGUUAAUUUGUAAGAUUUAAUUGAAAGUGGAUUUAAAUGUAAUUUUAUUUAAUUUAAUAAAAUGAUUAAAAAUUAAAAUAUGU
This 352-nucleotide ribosomal RNA is filed under the name Acrapex yakoba. RNAcentral's name for it is "partial 12S ribosomal RNA". The record is from RNAcentral. Lineage: Eukaryota; Metazoa; Arthropoda; Insecta; Lepidoptera; Noctuidae.